CUAAUGAUUGGCGGCGACGGUGCCCCGGCGACGGGGUGAAAAGGGAACGUGGUGCGAUGCCACGGCUGCCCCCGCAACUGUAAGCGGUGAGUUCUGCGCCAUCGGCCACUGGAGAACCCCUCCGGGAAGGCGGCGAAGGACCCGGACCCGCGAGCCAGGAGACCUGCCGUCGAGACUGCUUCUCA
This 185-nucleotide non-coding RNA is filed under the name Allobosea sp. Leaf344. The record is from RNAcentral. RNAcentral also lists the same sequence under 1 other name. Lineage: Bacteria; Pseudomonadati; Pseudomonadota; Alphaproteobacteria; Hyphomicrobiales; Alloboseaceae.